UGGUGCCCGUGGAGGUCUGGACCUGAGGCCUGUGCUCAUCACGUGGAUAGAAAACACUCUGACACCAUUCUGGAGAUGUUGACUGUGACCUCAGAGGCCAACUGGACCACACAGCUGCAGCAGGAGUGAGGGAGAGGAGUCUUCAUCCAGCUUCAAAGAAAACAUCCAGUUAGAAACCCUGCAGCAACCCGACCCAAAACUGUGUCUUCUUGUUGGCCUCAACGUUGAAGUGUCAAACGUCCAACAUCUGGAAAGGAAACCACGCCAGUGUACUGUGAUGUUUCACCAACAUGUGGCAGACGCUGGUCCUGCCUUUCAUGCUGACAUCAGCAGAGAGCCCCGCCUACCUCAAAGCCUCCCCUGUCAUGUAUUGAUCAGGAUGAUUAUGAAGAUGAGCGAGUGCAAAUAAGACUGUAAAAGUCCACGAGCAGAAUGUUUGGAUGCUUUCUGAUGAUUCAUGAAUAUCAUGAGAGUGUUUGUGUGUUUUGUCUUUUCUUUGCUGACGUUUGUUACUAACAAAGACAAUUUACGCUCUGUGUGUGUU
This is a non-coding RNA of Maylandia zebra (zebra mbuna), 544 nucleotides long. The record is from RefSeq and is a predicted model, not a curated record. NCBI's taxonomy places the organism in Eukaryota, Metazoa, Chordata, Actinopteri, Cichliformes, Cichlidae.